Molecule: ribosomal RNA, 775 nt
Filed under: uncultured Neocallimastigales
Lineage: Eukaryota; Fungi; Neocallimastigomycota; Neocallimastigomycetes; Neocallimastigales
Description: partial large subunit ribosomal RNA
Rfam family: Eukaryotic large subunit ribosomal RNA
Source: RNAcentral
CAUAGCGACUAUCGUGGCAUAUCAAUAAGCGGAGGAAAAGAAACUAACUAAGGAUUCCCUCAGUCACGGCGAGUGAAGCGGGAAGAGCUCAAAUUUGAAAUCUUCAAGGUUCUACCUUGACGAAUUGUAGUUUAAAGAAGUGUUUUCUGUUGGAGUUUUGGUAAAAGUUCUUUGGAAUAGGACAUCAUAGAGGGUGAGAAUCCCGUAUUUGACCAUUAUUUCCAACUUUGUGAUACACUUUCAAAGAGUCGGAUUGUUAGGGAAUGCAGUCCAAAAUGGGUGGUAAAUUUCAUCUAAAGCUAAAUAUUGGCGAGAGACCGAUAGCGAACAAGUACCGUGAGGGAAAGAUGAAAAGAACUUUGAAAAGAGAGUUAAACAGUACGUGAAAUUGUCAAAAGGGAAGCGUUUGACACCAGUGUUGUUUUCUCGAAAAUCAAUUAAAAAUGGCCGGAUUUUGUGUUGUAUUGACUUUAUCAGCUUUCUGCACUUUUUUCUUGUCUUUUUUAAUGCACUUUUCGUUUAACAAGUCAACAUCAAUUUCUUUUGUUGUAAAAGAGUCAUUGGAAGGUGGCUUUCAUUUCGGUGAAAGUGUUUAUAGCCUUUGACUUUUGCAAUCGGAGAGAUUAAGGUCUGCAGCGUAGAUCCUUCGGGGUUAGAUACAUUUGUGCUAAGUUAUAGUUUUUCAUAGACAACAUGUUGACUAUGAUUAAUCAUGUAGCUUACUCGCUUAUGCUAUUUUACCUACGCUUAGGAUGUUGAAGAUAUGCGCGACACG